RNAcentral lists this long non-coding RNA (457 nucleotides) under Dendronephthya gigantea. RNAcentral's name for it is "uncharacterized LOC114542441, transcript variant X1". The record is from RNAcentral. Lineage: Eukaryota; Metazoa; Cnidaria; Anthozoa; Malacalcyonacea; Nephtheidae.
GUUAAGACUGCUCAAGUUAGUGAAUUGUGUGUGAAGAUUGAUGAAUUCAACAUCAAAUUACAAAAUGAACAGAAGUCCAAAGAGGAGCUACAGAAACACUACCAAAAGAGAUUGCAAGAAUAUCAGAAUCAAUUUAAAGCUUUUCAAGAAGAGAAAGAUAAUGUAGUUGCUAAAGAACGGGAGGAGCUUUCGUCUUAUCGGAAAAAUCUGGAGCUACAAUUAAGAGCAACAGAAAAAGAUUGUGAGUUUCGUCAUCCAGAAAAUGUCAGUAAUUUUGAUGAAGCAAUAAGAAAAAGAGAACAAGAAUAUCGAUCAAAACUGGAUGAAACAAGAAGUCUCUUAUUGUCAAAUGACCUUAAGAUCUGAAGUUUAACAAAAGAACUGGAGUUAAUGCGAUGUGAUAGUCGUCGAUGUAAAGAGGAACUCGACAAGAGAGAACUGAGAACUCGGGAGCUGA